RNAcentral lists this ribosomal RNA (494 nucleotides) under uncultured bacterium. Its description in RNAcentral is "partial 16S ribosomal RNA". It matches the Rfam family "Bacterial small subunit ribosomal RNA", at positions 29 to 505 of the family's 1533-position model. The record is from RNAcentral.
AUGAACGCUGGCGGCGUGCCUAAUACCUGCAAGUCGAGCGAACAGACGAGGAGCUUGCUCCUCUGACGUUAGCGGCGGACGGGUGAGUAACACGUGGAUAACCUACCUAUAAGACUGGGAUAACUUCGGGAAACCGGAGCUAAUACCGGAUAAUAUAUUGAACCGCAUGGUUCAAUAGUGAAAGACGGUUUUGCUGUCACUUAUAGAUGGAUCCGCGCCGCAUUAGCUAGUUGGUAAGGUAACGGCUUACCAAGGCAACGAUGCGUAGCCGACCUGAGAGGGGGAAGCGCCACCACGGAAUGGAGACCCGCGCCACACCCGUGGGGGAGGACGCAGUAGGAAAUUUUCCGAAAGGGGGGAAACCCUGACGGGCAACCGCCGCGGGAGUAAAGAGGGUUUUGGGAUCCAAAACCUCUUUUUUGAGGAAAAAAAAAAUGGUAAAUAAACUUUCCACCUUUGGACGGACCCAAAUAAAAAAGCCACGGCAAACUACG